Molecule: long non-coding RNA, 274 nt
Filed under: Elaeis guineensis (African oil palm)
Lineage: Eukaryota; Viridiplantae; Streptophyta; Magnoliopsida; Arecales; Arecaceae
Description: long non-coding RNA (EGUI_LNC054232)
Source: RNAcentral
AUAACUGAUCCUCAUCCGAGCUUCUACAAUAAGCGGCCUCCUUUCAACCUUCUGCAAGAACUAGACUCCGUCCGAACUUCCAUAGUGGAAGGAUUCCGGACGAGCUUCUACAACAGACAGGCUCCAGCAGUUGGAUUUCUACAACGGUCGACCGCCUCUAGUGUCUGCCGAACCUCCCCAGCCAUCAACCUUCAAUAGCAUCAGCUGGGCUUCAACAAUGCCAUCCGGACUUCCACAGGAUCCCCCAGACUUCUCCAGCGGACGAACCUCCCCA